Small nucleolar RNA from Echinops telfairi (small Madagascar hedgehog), 80 nucleotides. The record is from Ensembl. Lineage: Eukaryota; Metazoa; Chordata; Mammalia; Afrosoricida; Tenrecidae.
AAUCAAUGAUGAAAAUAGCCAAAUCUGAGCAUCCAAGGCCCUUCCGGUCUACCUGAGGCAUGAUCUUCAUCACUCUGGGA